CCUACGGGUGGCAGCAGUGGGGAAUAUUGGGCAAUGGGCGCAAGCCUGACCCAGCAACGCCGCGUGAAGGAAGAAGGCCCUCGGGUUGUAAACUUCUUUUAUCAAGGACGAAACAAAUGACGGUACUUGAUGAAUAAGCCACGGCUAACUACGUGCCAGCAGCCGCGGUAAUACGUAGGUGGCAAGCGUUAUCCGGAUUUACUGGGUGUAAAGGGCGUGUAGGCGGGACUGCAAGUCAGAUGUGAAAACCAUGGGCUCAACCCAUGGCCUGCAUUUGAAACUGUCGUGCUCGAGUUGGAGAGAAGUAUGCGGAAUUCGUGGUGUAGCGGUGAAAUGCAUAGAUAGCACGAAGAACCCCGAUUGCGAAGGCAGCAUACCGGCUCCACACUGACGCUGAGGCACGAAAGCGUGGGUAUCGAACAGGAUUAGAUACCCCAGUAGUC
Molecule: ribosomal RNA, 443 nt
Filed under: uncultured bacterium
Lineage: Bacteria
Description: partial 16S ribosomal RNA
Rfam family: Bacterial small subunit ribosomal RNA
Source: RNAcentral